GGGUUUGAUGUGUAUCGUUUUGGAUUUAUUGGAUAUGAUGUGUUGCACAUAGUUUUUAAGUUUUCUUCUCUAAUUUCAUUGUCUUUACUCGUCAAUUUGUCUUGUCAAAAACUUACUCUAAGGGGGCGACUGGUUUUUCCGCUACCACCCGCAAAUGAAGCUUUUGCGGUUGGUAGUGGUUGUCGGCGGUUUGCAACAAUCACUCAAAUUGCUCUAAACCGCUUCAAACCGCUCUGAAUCUCAUAAAUUCAAAAGCUGGCUCCAGCUAGCGGUUGCGGGAAGGUAAUUUUUUUUUCUUUUUUUUAAAACAAUAUGUAUACAAAAGUAAAAAUAUUUAAUAAAAAAUUUAAAAUUGAAAUUAUGAAAAUAUUAAAAUAUAUCUAUUAUAUUUUAAUUAAUAUUAUAAAAUUUUAUAAUAAAAGUAAUUUCAAUAAAUUUUCAAAAAUUAAAAUUAUAACUUUCUAAAUAUAAAUUUUAUAUUUAUUAUAAUUUUAUGAUUUUUUAUAUUUUUAUAAUUAUAUUAAAUGUAAAUAUUGUUAAUUUAUUAUUUGACUGUUUCCGCAUUUGGUAG
RNAcentral lists this long non-coding RNA (571 nucleotides) under Brassica rapa (field mustard). RNAcentral describes it as "long non-coding RNA (BRAP_LNC004924)". Lineage: Eukaryota; Viridiplantae; Streptophyta; Magnoliopsida; Brassicales; Brassicaceae. The record is from RNAcentral.